GCUGGGUGUGUUGGCACAUGCCUGUAAUCCCAGCUACUCAGGAGGCUGAGGCAGAAGAAUCACUUGAACCCAGGAAGCUGAGGUUGCAGUGAGCCAAGAUUGCGCCAUUGCACUCCAGCCUGGGCAACAGAGUGAGACUCUGUCUCAA
Molecule: unclassified non-coding RNA, 148 nt
Organism: Macaca mulatta (Rhesus monkey)
Lineage: Eukaryota; Metazoa; Chordata; Mammalia; Primates; Cercopithecidae
Rfam family: Metazoan signal recognition particle RNA
About the family: The signal recognition particle (SRP) is a universally conserved ribonucleoprotein.
Source: Ensembl